This 492-nucleotide ribosomal RNA is filed under the name uncultured bacterium. RNAcentral describes it as "partial 16S ribosomal RNA". It matches the Rfam family "Bacterial small subunit ribosomal RNA", at positions 29 to 507 of the family's 1533-position model. The record is from RNAcentral.
AGUGAACGCUGGCGGUAGGCCUAACACAUGCAAGUCGAACGGCGGCACAGUAAGAGCUUGCUCUUACGGGUGGCGAGUGGCGGACGGGUGAGGAAUACAUCGGAAUCUACUUUUUCGUGGGGGAUAACGGAGGGAAACUUACGCUAAUACCGCAUACGACCUACGGGUGAAAGCAGGGGAUCUUCGGACCUUGCGCGAUUGAAUGAGCCGAUGUCGGAUUAGCUAGUUGGCGGGGUAAAGGCCCACCAAGGCGACGAUCCGUAGCUGGUCUGAGAGGAUGAUCAGCCACACUGGAACUGAGACACGGUCCAGACUCCUACGGGAGGCAGCAGUGGGGAAUAUUGGACAAUGGGCGCAAGCCUGAUCCAGCCAUACCGCGUGGGUGAAGAAGGCCUUCGGGUUGUAAAGCCCUUUUGUUGGGAAAGAAAAGCAGCAGGUUAAUACCCCGCUGUUCUGACGGUACCCAAAGAAUAAGCACCGGCUAACUUCGUG